Molecule: ribosomal RNA, 484 nt
Filed under: Callistoctopus minor (long arm octopus)
Lineage: Eukaryota; Metazoa; Mollusca; Cephalopoda; Octopoda; Octopodidae
Description: partial 16S ribosomal RNA
Source: RNAcentral
GUUGGGCCUGCUCGGUGAGAAGAAAAAUUUAACAGCUGCGGUAUUAUAACUGUACUAAGGUAGCAUAAUAAUUUGCCUUAUAAAUUAAGGCUAGAAUGAAUGGUUUGACGAAAAUUAGACUGUCUUUAUUUUAUUUGUUAGAAAUUAAUUUUUAUAGUGAAAAAGCUUGAAUAAUUUAAGGGGACGAGAAGACCCUAUUGAGCUUUAUUUAUUAAUAUUUAAAUAUAAAUAUAUAAUUUAUAUUAUGAAAAUUAUGUUGUAUAUAUAUAUAUAUAUUUAAUUGGAUUUAAUUUUGAUUGGGGUGAUCAAGGAAUAAAAGAUAAAGUAACUUCCUUAAAAUUAAUAAUUGUUUUUAUAGAGUAAUAAACCAAGUUUUUUGCUUAUAAGAUAAGUUACCAUAGGGGUAACAGCGUAAUUUUUUUUGAGAGUUCAUAUUGAAAAAAGAGAUUGCGACCUCGAUGUUGGAUUAAAAAUUACCUUAAGG